Molecule: ribosomal RNA, 467 nt
Filed under: uncultured bacterium
Lineage: Bacteria
Description: partial 16S ribosomal RNA
Rfam family: Bacterial small subunit ribosomal RNA
Source: RNAcentral
GACGAACGCUGGCGGCGUGCUUAACACAUGCAAGUCGAACGGAAGGGCCUGGCUUUGUGGGGUUCCCGAGGGGCGAACGGGUGAGUAACACGUGGGUUACCUUCCCUUGACCUUGGGAUUACCUUAGGAAACCGGGGCUUAUUCCCGGUUGGAGGCUCUGCUGCAUGGUGGGGGGUGGGAAGUUUCGGCGGUUGGGGAUGGACUCGCGGCUUAUCAGCUUGUUGGUGGGGUAGUGGCUUACCAAGGCUUUGACGGGUAGCCGGCCUGAGAGGGUGACCGGCCACAUUGGGACUGAGAUACGGCCCAGACUCCUACGGGAGGCAGCAGUGGGGAAUAUUGCACAAUGGGCGGAAGCCUGAUGCAGCAACGCCGCGUGCGGGAUGACGGCCUUCGGGUUGUAAACCGCUUUCGCCUGUGACGAAGCGUGAGUGACGGUAAUGGGUAAAGAAGCACCGGCUAACUACGUG